GAUGAACGCUGGCGGCGUGCCUAAUACAUGCAAGUCGAGCGAACAGACGAGGAGCUUGCUCCUCUGACGUUAGCGGCGGACGGGUGUGUAACACGUGGAUAACCUACCUAUAAGACUGGGAUAACUUCGGGACACCGGCGCUAAUACCGGAUAAUAUAUUGCACCGCAUGGUUCAAUAGUGAAAGACGGUUUUGCUGUCACUUAUCGAUGGAUCCGCGCCGCAUUAGCUAGUUGGUAAGGUAACGGCUUACCAAGGCUACGAUGCGUAGCCGACCGGACAGGGUGAUCGGCCACACUGGAACGGAGACACGGUCCAGACUCCUACGGGAGGCAGCAGUAGGGAAUCUGCCGCAAUGGGCGAAAGCCUGACGGAGCAACGCCGCGUGAGUGAUGAAGGUCUUCGGAUCGUAAAACUCUGUUAUUAGGGAAGAACAAAUGUGUAAGUAACUAUGCACGUCUUGACGGUACCUAAUCAGAAAGCCACGGCUAACUACGUG
This 497-nucleotide ribosomal RNA is filed under the name uncultured bacterium. RNAcentral describes it as "partial 16S ribosomal RNA". It matches the Rfam family "Bacterial small subunit ribosomal RNA", at positions 28 to 507 of the family's 1533-position model. The record is from RNAcentral.